RNAcentral lists this ribosomal RNA (804 nucleotides) under uncultured fungus. RNAcentral's name for it is "eukaryotic LSU rRNA". It matches the Rfam family "Eukaryotic large subunit ribosomal RNA", at positions 30 to 821 of the family's 3401-position model. Lineage: Eukaryota; Fungi. The record is from RNAcentral.
GAACUUAAGCAUAUCAAUAAGCGGAGGAAAAGAAACUAACAAGGAUUCCCUCAGUAACUGCGAGUGAAGUGGGAAAAGCUCAAAUUUGAAAUCUGGCAGCUCUUUCAGGUUGUCCGAGUUGUAAUCUAGAGAAGCGUUACCUGUGUUGGACCGUGUAAAAGUCUUCUGGAAUGGAGCAUCAUAGAGGGUGAGAAUCCCGUCUUUGACAUGGACUACCAGCAUGCCAAGGUGCACUCUCAAAGAGUCGAGUUGUUUAGGAAUGCAGCUCAAAAUGGGUGGUAAAUGCCAUCUAAAGCUAAAUAUUGGCGAGAGACCGAUAGCGAACAAGUACCGUGAGGGAAAGAUGAAAAGAACUUUGGAAAGAGAGUUAAACAGUACGUGAAAUUGCUGAAAGGGAAACGCUUAAAGUCAGUCGCAUUAGCUGGAAAUCAGGCUUGCUUUUGCAAGGUGCACUUUCUAGUUGAUGGGUCAGCAUCAAUUUUAAUCGUUGGAUAAAGUCAUUGGGAAUGUGGCAUCUUUGGAUGUGUUAUAGCCCAGUGUUGAAUACAGCGGUCAGGAUUGAGGAAUUCAGCAUGCCUCUAGGGGCCAGGUUUCGACCAUGUUCAUGCUUAGGAUGCUGGCAUAAUGGCUUUAAUCGACCCGUCUUGAAACACGGACCAAGGAGUCUAACAUGCCUGCGAGUGUUUGGGUGAAAAACCCAUACGCACAAUGAAAGUGAAAGUUGAGAUCCUUAGGGAGCAUUGACGCCCGGACCAGACCUUCUGUGACGGAUCCGCGGUAGAGCAUGUAUGUUGGGACCCGAAA